Drosophila gunungcola (fruit fly) is the source of this 2961-nucleotide long non-coding RNA. RefSeq lists it as uncharacterized. The transcript has 3 exons. The record is from RefSeq and is a predicted model, not a curated record. Lineage: Eukaryota; Metazoa; Arthropoda; Insecta; Diptera; Drosophilidae.
CCUGAAUACCAUUUUUACAUGGCCGAAAUAAACAAAUUUGAAUAUGAGGGAAGAAAUUUUAUUUCUAUUUUUGACGCAUAUUCUAACUUUAUGACUGUGAAACAACUAAAAGGGAAGUCUAUAGAGUAUGGAAUUGGUUUUCGAUAGUUAUGGUUAUCCACUCAAAACUAGAGUGUGAUAAUAACCCCUUUAACUCAUUUAUGUUUAAUAUCUUUGCAAACGACUCUAAUAUAAUUCUGCAGUUUUCCAGCCCAAGAUAUCCUUAAAGAAAUGGGCUAGCGGAAAAAGGAGUGGCAAUUGCAAAGAAUAUUUUAAAACACUGCUCUGAAGCUAGAAAUUAUCAACAUAGAACUCUUGAAUAUAAUGCUACGCCAGAAGUAGUUUUAAGUUGUGCCCCAUGUGAGUUUCUUUGGUAGAAUGUGUAAAACUAAAAUACCGACUAAAAAAUCUGAACUGCAUCGUAAUACAAUUGAUGAGCAAGCUAUAACCAUGAAAUUUCUAUACAAGAAAUCCACACAAAAAUACUAUUACAACAUGCACUCAAAAAGUUUGUGUCCAUUUAACAGAGGUUAUAAAGUUCAAUUUAAAAAAAACCACCAAUGAGUUCGCACGUGGAGUGAUAGAAAGUAGAGUAAAUGAACGUUCAUACUUAAAUAAAGAUGAUCAUAAUAACUUCUUUAGAAGAAACAGAAAACUAAUGGUCAGUAUUUUACAUGAUUGAAGGUGUCUUCUGUACCUGUAUCGAUCAGGGCUCGGGCUGGGAAGUUUUCUCCUAAAUGAACACAUGGACGAUGGCUGUGCCUAAAAGGUCUACUCGCUGAUUGGAAACAAAGUGAACAGAAGUGGACUGUAUUUUGGUAGCUUCUUGCAUAGUUGUUUGAUCCUGUGCAGAGCUAUUAUGGUUACUAGGAAUGUCUUUAUGUAGGAGCGUAUUGUGGCGUCCCUACUUUUGCACUCACGCAGAUGAUGUCCUUAGCGAAGCAAUUUAAACAUAAUCGCCUUUGAUUAAUUUAAGUUUCUCGCUCUGGUUGAGACAUCGGGAGGGAGCGAGUACAAAGUCGAACUGGAUGAGCCUCUUUGGAGCACAGAUCACAGCUGCGAACCUUUGGAGCAAAAUGGGUCUCUCAAGAUAAAUAGAAGUAGAUGCUGGAAUUUAUGGAAGUAAAAAAACCAAGAAGUGAAAGUCGGAUUAAAUUAUUUUGAAAGCAAUUCAAAAGUGAAAACAAUAAUUCCACUGUAAAGGCGUACACGGCCAAAAAUGGCGUUGUUCUCACUGGAAACUUUCUAAAAACCCAAAUAUUAGAAAAUAUCUGCAGAGUAGUAUGGUUGGAUAUGGUCAGUCGAUAUAACAGGAUAUUAUAUUUUAGUUCCUUUGUUGUUGUUGUUGUUUUCUUUUUUAAUUAUUAACUAAAUAGUUGAAAAAUUGUGAAUACGGUAUUACCAGUUUGGCGCUACCUUAACGGAUGCCCUGUGGAACUACGGAACGACUGGAAUUGAAAUUGAUAUAUAUAAGCAAAUGUACAUACGUUGAAAUGUGUAAUUUAUUUGUUAAGCAAUUUCACACAAAUGUAAAAUGGAAUCAUGCACGCAAACUGCAGUACAAUGAUAUGUACAUGUAGAUAGGACGGUACUGUAUGUGUGUUGCAAUUAGUUAACAUUAAUGUUAAUGUUUAGUAUAUAAAGUUAAAAUAAAUUACUAUCGAUAAAUUUUAUUAUUAUUUAAUUAAGAAUAUGCUGCCACACUUAAAUAAAAGGGACGCUAAAAAGCAGACGUGCCACGAUAAACUAAAUAAUUAAGUCUUUUAAUUAUAAGCCAAUCAGGCUUAUUACAUGGUGUCAGAUAUAAAAAUAUUGUAAAUAUUUUUGACCGAAUUAGAUUGUUCAUCAUUGGCGGUUGAGUGGCCUAAGUGGAAAAGGUCUUUUCUGAUGUACAUAUGUACAUGAUGACCGCUGGAAAUGAUACGGAACAGAAGCAAUGAAAAUUGAAACUUUUCUAUGGCUUGCUGGAACUCUGUUCCCGAACGACGGAACUGCAAAUGGCAUGGUGGGCGCCAACGUGACAUCAUCAGAGCCUUCAACGUCAGCGGCAGUUACAAUUCGUUCAUUGGAUCAAGUAAUUAAAGAUUUUGCUGACUAUAACACUCUAUUUAAGAACAUCACGAUGGAAUCCUUCAAGUUCAACAAUGUCAUGCAGAGCGACGGGCAGCCAUUAUUGGAAUUUGAGACGAAGUUCCGUAAGCAAGUACGACUUCAAAUGUGCGUGCGGUAAAUCAUACGAAAAACGAAUGCUGUUCAAUCGCGUCAUAAUUGUUGUACACGAUAAAAGACUACAGCUUAAAGACGCAAAGAAUAAGCAGUUGGAGCUAUCAUCAAUGAAUGUAAGGCGUUUGAAGCAGCAACUAAAAACAACGAGCAACUAAAAUGUGCAGAAAACAAAACCAAGUCUGUGGAAAACAACUCGAUCAACGCAUUGACUCGCCGAUGCUACAACUGUGGGGCGCUUUUCAACUAUAACCAUCCAGCGGAGUACAAGGCUAAAGGGAUAAUGUGAAAAGCUGGACACUUUGCAAAAUACUGCAAACAAAAGAAGUGCAUGGACAACAACACAGCAUCGCCAAGUCAUUAGUGGAAGUGGAUCACAAGCUAGCCAAGGGAGCUACAAUAAACUGGUCGGAAUCAGGAUAAGUGGGUGUGCACUAAACUGAGUUAAAUGGACAAAGACCUUAGAUAUUAAUGGAAAAGACAUUACCUUUACAGUGGAUACUGGCGCAGAUGUCAAUUGUAUUCCAAUUGAUCCCAAACUUGAAGUUAAACCAGAGAAUCUCAUAGUUUUUGAUUACAACAAUGUUAAAGGUAAUAAUUACGGAAUAGCAACAGCAAGCUCCACUGAUUUAAACUCAAAACAUGUAAGAAUAUUGAAUUUUUAGUGGUAAAAAAUAAAUGCGAACCUAUAUUAGGUCU